UCCGGUUGAUCCUGCCGGAGGUCACCGCUAUUGGAAUUCGCUUAAGCCAUGCGAGUCGAGAGGGUUCGGCCUUCGGCACACUGCUCAGUAACACGUGGACAAUCUGCCCUCAGGUGGGGGAUAACCUCGAGAAAUUGAGAAUAAUACCCCAUAGGGCCUGUAUGCUGGAACGCUUCAGGUCUCAAAGCUGCGGCGCCUGAGGAUGAGUCUGCGGCUCAUCAGGUUGUAGUGAGUGUAACGGACUCACUAGCCGACAACGAGUACGGGCCUUGGAAGAGGUUGCCCGGAGAUGGACUCUGAGACACGAGUCCAGGCCCUACGGGGCGCAGCAGGCGCGAAAACUUCGCAAUGUGGGAAACCACGACGAGGGAAUUCCAAGUGCUCAUGGUUUUCCAUGGGCUGUUUUCCUGCCUAAAUAGCAGGGAGAGUAAGGGCUGGGUAAGACGGGUGCCAGCCGCCGCGGUAAUACCCGCAGCCCGAGUGGUGAUCGUUUUUAUUGGGCCUAAAGCGUCCGUAGCCGGUUAAGUAAAUCCUUGGGUAAAUCGGGCAGCUUAACUGUCCGAAUUCCGGGGAGACUGCUAAACUUGGGACUGGGAGGGGUCGGAGGUACUCCGGGGGUAGAGGUGAAAUUCUGUAAUCCCUGGGGGACCACCAGUGGCGAAGGCGUCCGACUUGAACGGGUCCGACGGUGAGGGACGAAGCCCUGGGGCACAAACCGGAUUAGAUACCCGGGUAGUCCAGGGUGUAAACGCUGCGGGCUUGGUGUUGGGGUCCUACGUGGGCGCUCAGUGCCGGAGAGAAGUUGUUAAGCCCGCCGCCUGGGGAGUACGGUCGCAAGACUGAAACUUAAAGGAAUUGGCGGGGGAGCACCGCAACGGGUGGAGCGUGCGGUUUAAUUGGAUCAACGCCGAAAAACUCACCGGGGGCGACUGUUAGAUGAAGGCCAGGCUGAUGACCUUACCUGAUUUUCAGAGAGGUGGUGCAUGGCCGCCGUCAGUUCGUACCGCAAGGCGUUCUGUUAAGUCAGAUAACGAACGAGAUCCCCGCCCUUAAUUGCCAUCCUGUCCUCCGGGACAGAGGAACAUUAAGGGGACCGCUGGCGCUAAGUCAGAGGAAGGUGGGGGCAACGGUAGGUCCGUACGCCCCGAAUCCCCCGGGCAACACGCGCGCUACAAAGGACGGGACAAUGGGCCCCUACACCGAAAGGUGACGGUAAUCCCGAAACCCGUUCAUAGUCCGGAUUGAGGGCUGUAACCCGCUCUCAUGAAGUUGGAAUCCGUAGUAAUCGCGGGUCAACAUCCCGCGGUGAAUAUGCCCCUGCUCCUUGCACACACCGCCCGUCAAACCAUCUGAGUUGGGUUGAAGUGAGGGCACCUCAUUUUGUGGUGUUCGAACUUUGGUUCAGCAAGGAGGGUUAAGUCGUAACAAGGUA
RNAcentral lists this ribosomal RNA (1432 nucleotides) under metagenome. RNAcentral's name for it is "bacterial SSU rRNA". It matches the Rfam family "Archaeal small subunit ribosomal RNA". The record is from RNAcentral.